Molecule: long non-coding RNA, 1716 nt
Filed under: Linum usitatissimum (flax)
Lineage: Eukaryota; Viridiplantae; Streptophyta; Magnoliopsida; Malpighiales; Linaceae
Description: long non-coding RNA (LUSI_LNC003435)
Source: RNAcentral
CAACUCAGCAAGAACAUUCUCAUAUGCUCUAUAAACUUUCAUCUCUCUGUGUAAUCUUGAUCUUUAAUAUGGUAUCAGAGCCCCUAUCUAUUUCUUCCUGAUUGUGCAUCUUCUUUAAGGUACUGAGCUUCUACCAGCAGAUGUCUCUACUCCCAGUCUUUUCCUAUUUACUCAGUUCAAUGGAUUCGAGUAUUGCUCUUACCUUGAGGACAUUCAUAACUACUUCUGAUAUAUGGACUCAUCUCCGGAAAAUCUACUCAGGUUAAUUCAUCGCGAUUGUUUGAGGUCGAGUACGAGUUGGCUCGUCUUUCACAAGGUGAGCGUGAUGUUCAAAGCUUCUAUCUGCUUGCCGAAAUAUUUGGACAGAACAAGACCUACUGUCCACCGUCCCUUCUUUCUUCCACAGCUAGCAUCGAGAAACAAAAGGAACACCAACAUUCUCGUGUUUUGCAAUGUUUGAUGAAGCUAUUACCCGAGUUUGAAGGAAUUCAAUCCCAACUUAUCACUGCUAAUACAACUGAUAUCGACAAUAUCCUUGGUGAUUUGAGACUAAUUUGUUAACGCAAGCUAAACUUGAUGGUACAAAUUCUGAAGGGGGCUUAGUUUUUGUUGCUUCCCAAUAUCGGAACAAAGGACGCCCACAAUUUCAUCCUAGGUCAUCUGAGCAGCGUCUUUCUAAUGGAUUCCCAUCUGAUAUUCAGUGUCGUCACUACAGUGAGAAGGGUCAGGUUAUUUCUCACUGUAAGAAACGAAACUUCUGUAAUUAUUGCACAAAAUCUGGUCACAUUAUCUUGGGAUGUCCAGCUAAGCAACGUUGAUGUGAUGUAUUUUUAACACACCUUUUCUCGUUAUAAAUUAUAUUUUUGUGUGUCGAAAUGUAUUCAAAUUUGGGUUUUGAGUACAUGUUUGGUUCUCUUGCCCCCUCGGGGCCGUAUUAUGGUGUUUGGUAUGUUUUUGGUACAUUUUAGGUGUCAUAUGACGUUUAGAGAUAAACCAAGACAUGGCGGGGAGGCCGGAACAACUCAAAGCGUUUGACUUGGGAAGAAAGCGUCAUUGUAUAGUAUUUUAAGCAUAACUCAUCGCUGCGAAGUCCAAUUGAUGCAAGGUCAGCGGCGUUGGAAAGAUAAUUCGAUUGUCUACAACUUUGGUGUUAAUACUAUGGUCAAGUUCCGUAUAAUGAAGGAACACGCGGUGUUCCUCCUCUGAAAUUGCCUGAGAAAGUUACAGGGGCUGAACACGGCCGUGUCCCACCCCCAGACGGGUUUUCAAGUCCUUUUCCUUCUCCAACUUGGUCCAAAAGCCUAUAAAUAUCCCCGAGACCCCCGUGGACGAGAUAUACUUCAUUAUACACAUAUUUUUCGAGCUCUUGGAGAGAGCGAGGGUUCCACAUCAUUCAUUCUACACAUAUUUUCGAGCUAUUAGAGAGAGGGAGUGUCCCAUAGACCGAUUGAAGCGAUAGAUUAUCAUCGAUUGGCGAAGGAGCAAAGAUCAGCGACAGGAUUGAGAAUUCUUGACGGAUCAUGUUGUCUUUCCGGGUUGUUCUCAUUUCUUUUUCCCUUCUUACUUCCCGAACCAUGAGUAGCUAAACUUUCUGUGUUGUUCGGACGAGAUGAAGCUUUAGCUAAUGUUUUGUAUGGAUGAUUUGAUUUGUUAUUAAGGUAUAUUCAGACUUAUGAUGUGUUCUUCCUAAAACCUAAUUUCUGAUUCAAUUUUGUC